GCGAGAAAGGCAGGGGAAGGAGAAACCCUUCUCCUUCAACCUAGCACAAGGAAUUCAGAAAUUGAAGGUGUUGUUGAUCAAAAAUCGAAUGCAUGAAACUAGUUCUUCGCUAAUCUAAGCAUAUUGAACAUAAGGAUUGAAAGAAGAAGAAGCUAGUUCCGGUUCGCAACAAAAGGUUCAAGAGAGAGGUAAAUCCUCAAUUUAGGCGACUUGGCAAUUUGGAGCGAGCAAAUGCACACUUUAUGGUUAUCAAGCGCUUCCGCUAUUACGUAUUAAUGUUUUGGGUCAAAUGCUAGUUUUUGUAUAACAUUGUUAGUGGUUACACUUUCUAACACUUGAUGUAUGGUUCUUAGUCGUGUCUAGUUAAACGGGUUGUAGACUUGUUUGUUUGUUAAUGGUUAAAACAGGGAUAUGCUCGUCUUAUGGACGGGUCAUGCCCAAAUUUUGUUGAAAUCAUGCAUUAAUGAUAUAACGUUUUUACCAUUUAAAGAAAGAAA
Helianthus annuus (common sunflower) is the source of this 497-nucleotide long non-coding RNA. RefSeq lists it as uncharacterized. NCBI's taxonomy places the organism in Eukaryota, Viridiplantae, Streptophyta, Magnoliopsida, Asterales, Asteraceae. The record is from RefSeq and is a predicted model, not a curated record. The transcript is spliced from 3 exons.